CUUCACCGAGCCGAGCCAGACCGGGCCGUCCUCCGGCCGGUCCUGCCCGUAGGUGGCCAGCAGCGCCUGCGCCUC
RNAcentral lists this antisense RNA (75 nucleotides) under Streptomyces sp. ScaeMP-e83. Its description in RNAcentral is "ASpks TB sRNA". It matches the Rfam family "ASpks TB sRNA". Lineage: Bacteria; Bacillati; Actinomycetota; Actinomycetes; Kitasatosporales; Streptomycetaceae. The record is from RNAcentral.